UAUGGCUUUUUAUUCCUACGUGAUCGUAACGCACGCUGAGCCUCAUGUAGGGAGGAAAGCCAUGCA
This 66-nucleotide microRNA precursor is filed under the name Petromyzon marinus (sea lamprey). RNAcentral describes it as "Pma-Mir-135-o2_pre stem-loop". It matches the Rfam family "mir-135 microRNA precursor family", at positions 17 to 74 of the family's 88-position model. From Rfam's summary of the family: The hairpin precursors (represented here) are predicted based on base pairing and cross-species conservation -- their extents are not known. Lineage: Eukaryota; Metazoa; Chordata; Hyperoartia; Petromyzontiformes; Petromyzontidae. The record is from RNAcentral.